Molecule: non-coding RNA, 111 nt
Filed under: Bacillus cereus
Lineage: Bacteria; Bacillati; Bacillota; Bacilli; Caryophanales; Bacillaceae
Description: SAM-I sequence
Rfam family: SAM riboswitch aptamer (S box leader)
About the family: The SAM riboswitch is found upstream of a number of genes which code for proteins involved in methionine or cysteine biosynthesis in Gram-positive bacteria. The SAM riboswitch acts at the level of transcription termination control. The predicted structure consists of a complex stem-loop region followed by a single stem loop terminator region.
Source: RNAcentral
AGCUUAUCAAGAGAAGCGGAGGGAACUGGCCCUAUGAAGCUCAGCAACCUGCUCAUAGCAGUAGCAAGGUGCUAAGUCCAGCAAAAUGGCAUCCAUUUUGAAAGAUAAGGU